This 338-nucleotide unclassified non-coding RNA is filed under the name soil metagenome. RNAcentral's name for it is "partial contains 5.8S ribosomal RNA, internal transcribed spacer 2, and large subunit ribosomal RNA". The stretch from base 1 to 120 matches the Rfam family "5.8S ribosomal RNA", at positions 35 to 154 of the family's 154-position model. The record is from RNAcentral.
GAUGAAGAACGUAGCGAAAUGCGAUAAGUAGUGUGAAUUGCAGAAUUCAGUGAAUCAUCGAAUCUUUGAACGCACAUUGCGCCCCUUGGUAUUCCAUGGGGCAUGCCUGUUCGAGCGUCAUUUCAACCCUCAAGCUCUGCUUGGUGUUGGGGCCCUACGGUUGACGUAGGCCCUUAAAGGUAGUGGCGGACCCUCUCGGAGCCUCCUUUGCGUAGUAACUAACGUCUCGCAUUGGGAUUCGGAGGGACUCUUGCCGUAAAACCCCCAAAUUUUCUAAUGGUUGACCUCGGAUCAGGUAGGAAUACCCGCUGAACUUAAGCAUAUCAAUAAGCGGAGGA